UGAUGACAGUUCCUCCUGCCGCUCUGAGAUCUGGCGUGUCAGGGUUUUAGGUCAUCACAAAUUAAACAGGGUCUGUCUAAUCCAGUGUGUGGGAUGGCUGGGCUGUUUUCUGUCCACUCUGGAUAAAUCCAGAUUCAACAUGU
Electrophorus electricus (electric eel) is the source of this 143-nucleotide small nucleolar RNA. Lineage: Eukaryota; Metazoa; Chordata; Actinopteri; Gymnotiformes; Gymnotidae. The record is from Ensembl.